CCUACGGGACGCAGCAGUGAGGAAUAUUGGUCAAUGGACGAGAGUCUGAACCAGCCAAGUAGCGUGAAGGAUGACUGCCCUAUGGGUUGUAAACUUCUUUUAUAAAGGAAUAAAACGAGGCACGUGUGCCUUUUUGCAUGUACUUUAUGAAUAAGGAUCGGCUAACUCCGUGCCAGCAGCCGCGGUAAUAAGGAGGAUCCGAGCGUUAUCCGGAUUUAUUGGGUUUAAAGGGAGCGUAGAUGGGUUGUUAAGUCAGUUGUGAAAGUUUGCGGCUCAACCGUAAAAGUGCAAUUGAUACUGGCAUUCUUGAGUACAGUUGAGGUAGGCGGAAUUCGUGGUGUAGCGGUGAAAUGCUUAGAUAUCACGAAGAACCCCGAUUGCGAAGGCAGCUUACUAAACUGUGACUGACAUUGAUGCUCGAAAGUGUGGGUAUCAAACAGGAUUAGAUACCCGGGUAGUC
Molecule: ribosomal RNA, 460 nt
Filed under: uncultured bacterium
Lineage: Bacteria
Description: partial 16S ribosomal RNA
Rfam family: Bacterial small subunit ribosomal RNA
Source: RNAcentral